Molecule: long non-coding RNA, 36154 nt
Filed under: Elaeis guineensis (African oil palm)
Lineage: Eukaryota; Viridiplantae; Streptophyta; Magnoliopsida; Arecales; Arecaceae
Description: long non-coding RNA (EGUI_LNC019956)
Source: RNAcentral
UCUUUGAACUUUUUCUUUAGCAAGUUACGACCAAAGAAUUCCCAAAGUCCAAAUUGAAGGCUUCAAAAUCUAAAUCAACAGAAAGGUUAUAGCAAUAUUUUCAAACUUAUAAAGUCUCAAGACAAAAGUUAAAAGAAAAAGAUUUAUUCGUUAGUCCUUAUUUGUGGCUUUACAAGUUGUAAAACAACAACUGCCAAUCGCAUUCGUUUCAAUAUUUGGAAAGGUUGAGGGUAUAUUUCGGGUAUAUUUCAGAGGAACAAUAUGAUCUGAUAACUGAUUUUUUUUAGGGGCGGAGAGAGAGAGAGAGAGAGAGAGUAGUUGAACCGUGGGUGGCCACUNNNNNNNNNNNNNNNNNNNNGGAGAGAGAGAGAGAGAGAGAGAGAGUUUGAACCUGGGUGGCCACUGACCAAAUUGGAUAUUGUGGGUAGCACUUUGACCAUAUAACUUAAUUAACUCGGGGUGUGUUUGGUUGGAGGGAGGGGGAGUUUGGAAUCGGAGUCGAAAUGGAUGACUUUUAUUUUAAUCGUUUGGUUGGAAGGAGUUCUAUUCUGAUCUGAUUUCAGGAUGGAAUAGGAAUGGCUCAAUCUAUAUAAAACUCAAUCUUUACUCUCCUCUAUAGAUUCAAUUUUUCAUUUUGAUUCCGAUUCCGAUCACAAACCAAAUAUUUUGAAAGGUUUGUUGAUUCCAAUUUCAAACUAUUUCGAUUCUAAUUUUCAUUCUUAUUUCGAUUGCGAACCAAACCUCCUCUUAAAUGACUGCAGCAAUACUGCAAAAAUGUAGAAAAAAUUCAGAUAUGCUGAGCCUUCCAUAAGCAUUUCAAAUCACCAUCCGCCGAAGCUCCAAAUAAAAGUGAUGCUGCAAACAAUCUCAGAGAUGUUUUUAAGAAAGAGAUACAAUUAAACAAUUGUGCCAGGUGUGUUCUUUGGGACCCGGUAGCAAUAAAAGUCCAUGGUGACGCCUAAGAUCGUUGCUUGCGGCGAGUUCUAUUGAUUGCAAGCUUGAGCCACACCAUUCUCAUCAAACACCAAGUAGAAGGGCACUGCUCCCUUUCUUCAUGGGUGACUCGAUCGAAAGAAAACGACUUGCAUCAAUCACCGAAAUUUGCAUGACGAGGAUUACAGCAGUGAGCUUGCAAAUGAUAUCCGCUGCUACGAGGCGGUGGUCGUGGAGAAGGGAUUAGCAUGCAUGGCAAGCUGGAAGGCAUAGGAAGGGAGGCUGAUGGAGAACAAAAGUUGCUUGAUUGCAUCACAUUGAUCUAGUGUGACCAGAUGCCAAGGCCUAGUGCAGCAUAUGGUGGAACCAUGGAAGCCGCCACCUUGUAUAUGUCCUCUCAUCCCAUCAUAUAGCCUUACUUUUCAUCCCUUCCUAAGGACCCUUGGGAGCCUUUUUAGCAAAGUCUCUAGGAUGCAAGGCAGUUUGUAGCUUAUCUGGUCCUCUCUUUCAAAGGUUUUAUACAUAGAAAAAUAGGGGUGGAGAAAGAGAGAGAGAGAGCAUGGGUAGGAAAAAGGGAUGAGAUGGUGGAUGCAUGGGAUUCCAAUGCAGUACUUGAUGCUUAUGAAGCUCUUGUAAAUAAGCAACGAAGGGCAGGUUUUUGGUCUUGAGGUCCUUUUAGAGCAGCUACAGCCAAUGAGCAGCCUGCUGAAGCCAUUAGGAUAAAGAAAGAGGUUUCACCCAUGUUAAAAGGGAUAAAACUUUUAUGAUCGGAUCGAUCACGAAAGGAAUUAAUGUUGGAUUGUCAUCGCCUAUCACACCUCUGAAGCACACCGCGCGCAUGUAAUACUAAGAAAAUAAGAAUGGAUAAAUCCUAGGAGGUUAUGAGAUGUUUAUCAAAACUAUUCAAAUAUCCUUAGGAUUUAUCUAUUUUUAUUUUUUUAAUAUUUUAACGUGUGUGCAUAAAUAUGCACGGCAUGUGGUAGGCGAUGAUGGUCCAACCAUAAUUCUUUCUAUAAUCAGUCCGAUCAUAAAAGUUUUAUCCUGUUAAAGAAGUGUUUGGAAGCUAAUUAUUAUUUAUUGUUCAUGAGGAGCACUGGAAUAUAGAAUGCCCAGAAUGAUGGCAGCCCGUGAAGACAACUAGGAUAGAAAAUAUUAACAUGUUUCUUUGAGAAAAUAGAUACUUAACCCUGCGGGCAUUAUCAAUGUGCAUUGGGAUUAGUUUGAAAAAUCCAAACCGGACCUAACCCUGACUCAACUUAAACUUGAUUGCGAUAAAUAAAUUGAUCGGCAUUUAUGCUUCUGCUAGACUACUUAUAUGAUCCAUUCAGUUAUAUUCUCAGUCUUAUUAAAUAAUAUAAUUGCAUAAAUGCACAAAAAAAAGACCCCUAUCAAUGUAAUAUCAACUUGUGAAAAAUGCCCAAAAUAUUUCCCCAUUCUCAAAUUACGUAAGCAGCACAACUUAAGGGCUAUUUGCAUGAUUGGACCCAAAAUCUGAUAAGCUUGUUGACCGGCCAAUACUACCAUCCAAAUCAGAUUAGGUAGGUUAUAUUUAUACAAGAAAAAUUCUUUGCGCACUGUAUGCGGUGCAACAAAAUUGAUACGGAGCAUAUCCCCCAAUCAUAUUGGAUCACGUAGUGCAAUUAAUAGUGGUAUAGCCAUUUAAUGCCAUAUAGCUUAUUUCUCAAUUUUUUUCUAAUGAAAAUGCUUUUUCUCUCUAUAGAACAAAGAAAGAAUAGUAUUAUUACUUUCUAAUGCCUUGUAUAACUUCCUAUGAAUAUAUAUGACAUCCUGAACAAUAUAUAUGAAAUUUUGUAUCUUUAUAUGAUAUUCUGAAUAAUAUGUAUAACUUUCUGGAUCUUAUAUGACUUCUUAUGAAUAUAUAUGAUAUCUUGAACAAUAUAUAUGAUUUCUUGUGAAUAUAUAUAUUUUUCUGAACAUUAUAUAUGACUUUCUUAUACUUUAUAUGACCUCUUGUCAAUAUAUAUAACAUCAUGAAUAAUAUAUAUAACUUUCUAUAAAUAUAUAUGAUAUCUUGAACAAUAUAUAUGACUUUCUGUAUCUUUAUAUGAUAUCCUGUUGAUUAUUAUAACCAAUAGAAAGUCAUAUAAGGCAUAAGGAAGUCAUAUAAUAUUAAUUUUUUGUACUUUUCUAAUGAUUAGUUUUUGGCUCCAACAGCUAAUCCAAACUUUCUAACGGUCAAAACUCAUUCUCUAACAACUCCUAAGCCUAUUAAGAGCUGGAGAAUCAAUUGAAAAGGAAACUAAGUAGAUUGAAAAGAGAAAACCAUCAAAUAGGAUGAGGUUCAUUGAAUAUUCUUGAAAAAAAAAGGAGAGGAAUUAAGUGCACAGAUUUGAGAGCUUUCAAAAAAUGAUCUUCUCCAACAUCAUCUAUAUCCUCUCAAAUAUCAAUUGAAGAAGUCAAGCUUUAAAAGAGUGAAUCAUCAGCUUCUUCUUAGCGCCCAAAUGAGUUUAUAUUUUUUAUUUUUAUUUUCUAUACUGAAAAUUAUAUCUUAUAUUUUAUUUUCUUUACAAUUUUUUUUUUAAAAAAAACUUGAGGAUUAGACCCAUCCAAGUCUGAAAUUGGACUUGUUAGGUUUUGGUUGGUGAACUUGCAAAAUCAACUGGAUUGAUUGUAAGUCCGAAAAAUAAUCAGUGUAUGAUUUUAGUUGGUGAGCCCGAAAAAUCAACUGGAGUGAUUAUGAGUCCAAAAAAUAAUCGGUAUAUAGAUUGUAGUUGGUAAUUUUCGAAAAUCAACUGAGAGCGGAUGUAAGUACAGGGUUACACCGAACCACUAUAAAAUUACUUAUCUUUAUAUUAUACUUUGUGUACUUGCUUUUAAUUCUUGCUUUACAUUCUUACUUACUUUUAUUAUUCUGCUGCAACAUAAUUGCAUAUAUCCCACAAUCACUAAGAUAGCUUAAAUUGAAGCACAUCAUUAUUUAGAUUACAGAUUUAGUUAAAAUUUUUAAAGAAUCCAAUUCACCUUUCUCUUGAGUUGCUAUCUUUUUGGACAACAAUUGGUAUCAGAGCAAGUACUCUGUUAUUUAUUAUUGACCUAGUGGUCUAAAGCCAAAGAUCUUGGUAACUCAAACGGAAUUCAUUGUUAAUAAAGGCUAUUCUAUAGAUCGUCCCUCAUUAUUAAAUGGAUCAAAUUAUAUAUAUUGAAAAAUUAAGAUGAAAAUCUUUAUAUAAGCAAAUGAUUAUAAUUUAUAAAAAAUUAUAGUCAUGGCCCACAUAUAGCUAAUACAUUAAUUGAGUAUAAUAAAAAAAUGACCCUAUUAAAUGCUAAGACUAUGAAUAUGCUUUAUUGUUCAUUGGAUAUGAAUAAAUUUAAUAAAAAAAUUUUAUGUAUUUAAGGUAAAUAAGUAUGAGACAAAUUGAAAGCUACUUAUAAGGGAGCAAAUUAAAAAAAAAAAAAUCAAGCUCUCAAGAAGAUAAGGAGGGUCUCCCAACAUAUGUCCCAUGGCCCAUAAGGAUGACAAGAAGAAAAAGAAGAAGAAACAAAAGAAAAAAAAAGCAUCAAUUAAGAGGGAGUAAGGUGAGAAAAAAAAUAAAAAAGAGGAAGAAGGUACUGUAAAUCUUUGCCUCAUGGCUCAAAAUGAUAAGAUAAAUAUUGAAAAACUCUUUUAAAUUUAUUUUUGAUAAAAAAAAUUAUUUACAAAAAAUAAAUAUAAAAAAAAAUAUUAUUGAAAAUGGUGAAUAAAAGAAAGAAAUUGAGAGAUUGAAGUUUUUAUAUAUAAAUUUAUAUUAAGUUCUCAAAAGCUUCAAAUGAUUUUGAACAAUCAAAAAAUUGUUUUCAAUAAAACUGGAAUAGAUUUCAAUCAAUUGAGAAAAUAAAAAUUUAUUAAGAAUAUGUUUUCAAGAGCUUAUUAUGAAAAUCAUUCUAUCACAUGUUUAAAUGCAACAAAUUAGACCAUAAAAAUUCAGAAUGUAAUAUUAAAAAAAAUGAUCAUACUUUGAUUAAAUAAAUUUGAGUUCUUAAAGAAAUCAUGUACACUAACUCCAAUGGACCUAAGAAAGCUUAGACACCAAAAUUCAAAAAAUAAUUUUACAUAUGUGCCAAGCAUCCAAUCGUAUGAACAAAGUGAAUUCUUGAAGAUGGAUGUUUAAGACUUAAGAUGGAUGGAUGAUGAUAUUUGAUAAAAGCUAAACUUUUCUCAUAUCAUACCAUCAUUGAUUUCUGAUAUUAUUUUAUUUAAAUGACUGAUUUUGAUACUUCAUAUGCAUGCAUGAUAUUGUGAUGAUAUUUCGAUGCUUGCUUGAAUAUAUUGAUAAAUAUUGUUGCUGCAAGUAGAGCUAUUAAUUUAGGUUGGGCUCGUCGGGUUGGCUUGCCCCGCUAUGUAAAUGGGGUGAGUUGGGUUUACAUUUUAGCAACCCAUUUAAAAGCGAAUCAAAUAACCCACCCUAUUUGGGUUGGCGGGUUGGGGCGGGCUGGGCCCCCUAUUUUGUUUAGUAAAAAAAAAUAUUACCAAAUCUCCUUGAGGCCUUGAUCCUUGUCCAAUUAUCUGCCUAUUUUGUUUAAUAAAAAAAUUUACCAACCCCCUAGAGAUCAUGGAGAGGAUGCGAAGAGAAGAUGGGAGGGUUAACAGUUUUUUUUUUGGGAGGGGGAUUUUGGCGGGAUGGCCCAUUUAACCCGCAGCCCAUGAUAGGUUGGGUCGGGUUGGAGUUUUUCCAACCCGUCAGUUAAACGGGUCAGCCCGCCCCACCCCAUUUAGAGGUGGGUCAGGGUGGGUCGGUCCGUCUUGACAGCUCUAGCUAUAAGACUCGAAAUCUAGAAUAGGACAGAUCGAAUCGAAUGAGGCAGGACUGGAGCGAUCGUUGCGAUCCGAUGGGAGUUCAAUCUGCAAAAUCAGUCAAAAAAUUGGAUGGAGAUCCUGCAGUUCAUUUUUGAUCCUCCGAUGCUUAAGUCAAUUCGAAUUUUGAGAAUAAAGGUCGAAAAGAAUGGGAGAGCAAGAGAGAUCGAGUGGAACCGAAGGAGGACUGGGUAGGAACUAGGAUUUUGAUCGAGUUUUCUACCAGCAGCAUCUCCCCUAAUUUUAGAGAGCAAAAUUUAUCGAUGGAGGAUCCCUGACCUUCUAUUUAUAGAGGGAUUGAGGAGGCCGUUUCAGAGUUUGUUAGGUCAUUAGAAGAGUUUGUUAGAUGGUUAGAGAGCCAUCUGUAAAUGAGCUAAUAUAUAGCUGUACAUAUGAGCUGGACAUGAGAUCAUAUCUGGCUGUAUCUGUCAUCAUAUAUGAGAUCGUAGAUAGCUGUGGCUUGAUUGUAGAAACCAUUGUGAGCGUUCAUGAAACAAUUAAGUCCAUCAAUAUAAUAGUUCACUUUGAUAGAUGAUCGAGAUGAAAUAGAGACUAGUCAUAAUAAUCAUCCCGGAUAUAAGAGGCACCAUGAUUUAGAUUGGUAAAUAUCUGAUCUGAAUAUUCUUUUAUCAGCUGCGACUUGUCAUCCCGGAUAUAGAAUACCAAGAUGUCUCUUAUUCAAGUCGAUAAAAUACCGAUCUGAAUCUGCUUAUUGAUAAGUUGAUCUGUUGUAACUUGGUGCUUUGAGAUUGAUAUCUUUUUGAUCUUAUAUGACGAUGCUAUGUAUCUUGGGACUGAUUUAGUGCACCAACAAAUAUGUUCUCUUAACUCUAAGUAUCAUCUUGAAUAUUAUAAGUAUAAAUCUUCAUUUUCAAAUUCAACAUGCUCUCGUAACUCCACAUAUCAUAUUAUUUUGAUUAUUUAAGAAAUUUACAAUUAAAAAUAGGCUUGAUUGUAUAAGAAAUUAUUUAAGUGAAAAGCUUACAAAAUAAUUUUGACAUUCUUAUAAGAUAUCUAAUUAUUAAAAUUUAUCGAAAAUUGUAUGAUCUAAGAACUUCCAAGAUAAGUCCACAUAAUCAUUAAAAAAAAAAUCAUAUGCUUGAUGCUUUUGAGUUGCAUUGCAUUUUCGGUUGAUUUUUAAGGAUUAAAAAAAAUUCUUAAUAGAACCUAACUUUUAGAGCCUUUAUCUAGUUUCCUCACAGCUUACCCUUGAUUUGAUUUGAUUAAUCAUAAAACCCCAAUUGAUUAAUCCUUGAUCCCCCAAAUUGAUUUUAAUAUCUGUCUUGAUCAUUAAUUUGAUCACCAUUGAUCCCUAUUCAAAUUUGAGCAAAUUUUUCUUUGGAUCAAAACUCCCUGAACUAUUCUGCUUUGAGGAGUCGACUCUUGGUUCUAGAGAAUCGACUCAUAAUUUUCAAGAGAAAAAUAGUUUUGUGAGGAGCCAAUUCCUAGUUUUAUUAGAGUUAACCCCCCUUCAGGUGCUUACUCUUGAUUUAGCAGGAGUCGACCCUUAUGUCUAGGAUGGAUUUUUAAUCAAAAUAUCCCAAGACUCUAUCAUUACUUUCUCAAUUUUUUUGAAUCGUAAUUCCUUUCAAACCCCUAUCUAACCAAAUUCAGCCUCCCCUCUUUAUUUUCAUCCUAUUCUUGUGGUCUUUAUUCUUCAAUGGUACCCCGAAAGCAAUUCAUAUAAAGGAAGAGGAAGUCCCAUGCUGAAAUUCAAGAAUUUAGAGUUUCUCCAAGUAGUUCUCCCAUAUAAGAAAAGAUCAAGCAUCAAAAUAAUUGGAAGUCUAGAUUUCAAAGUAAAGGACGUGUAUAUUGAGAUGGAUAUCGAUAGCAUUGGAUGCAUGCUACACAUCCAGACUAAUGGGAGCAACUCGGAUCAUCUCAAGUAACAACAUAUUUGAGAUUUAUUUUGGAUUGAGAUGAUAUCGAGGGUAUCGAAGAUAUCAGUACCAGUACUCAUGCUACAACAGAUAAUGACAAUAAGACUCCCAUAGUGGAGCCCAUUGCAGUCGAUAUCAGGACUAAGGAGCUAGUAGAAUAGUAUAAAUAGAUAAAGAUAGCUUCACCUUCUCAGACCUACCAUCCAAAGAGUAGCUCGUGACUGUCUGAUAGUCUGAAUGAGGAUGCAUUUGUUGAGAGAGUUUUCAUCAGGAUCGUCACUUCAGUUUGUGCAGAGUUUUAGAGGUACACUUCAAAGGCACAGCAGAUCUGAUGAAGACAUUAUUUUUGAUUAGAGAGGAGACUGCGAGGAUGAUUCAGGCUAUCACUGUAGCGAGGGUUGAUAUUCGGUGUCAGUCAUUUGGAGAUAUUAGACCACCCUCUUUAUCUAGCCAGUCUGAACCUUCAUCCUAGGAUUAUCCUGACCUACUCUCUUAGGAUGCUAGAAUUUAUUUCUUAGAGCUAUAGUAUCCCUAGUAGUCCACCUUUUGAUAGAAAGAGAUUGCAUAUAUUUUGCAUGUACUGACAUUUUCCAUCUUUAUAAUCAUAUUUUGAAAAUCAAAGAAAUAUAAUUUUUUAUGAAAAUUCGAUAAGUUUGAUGUUACUUGUUUGAUCUCUAUAUUUAUGUGUUUGAUUGAAAAUGUGUGUAGUUUAUAACACUAAGGGGGAGAAAAAUGUGUUCUUGCAAUGCUUGCUUUAAAUUAAAUGAAUAUACAUUCUUUGAAAGAAAAAAGAAGAGAAUUAAGAAAAUUAAAUAUUUUGAGAUUUACCAUUAAAAAUAGGGGAGAAAUCAAAAAUUAAAAAGAGAAAUAAUUUCUGGACACAAUAAGAGAAAUCAUUAUUAAUCUUAAAAAAGAGAUCAUUGAUAAAUAAUUGCACUUUGCUAAUCUUAUCGAUUUAUUUGAGCAUUCAUGUGGUUUUAUUCAUUUGAUUGUACUUGAUAUGUUUUGAUUAUAUCAUCAUUCUCUUUAAUAAUUAAUUGGUAUUUGAAAAAUAUUUUGCAUCAAUUGAUGAUUUUUGAAAAAUGAACUUGAAAAAUGCUUUUUAUAAUUGGUAUCAAGCUGAAUUUGCAUUAUAUUUCCAUAUUUUGUUUAGAUCGAUCAUUUUUAAUGAAUGAAUUUGAAAAUUGAUUUUCUUUGAUCUUCAAGUGGUAUAAAAUUUUCAAGAAAAUCAUGAUUUGGUUCAAUAGGUAUCAAGAAAACUUUCAAGCAAAAUUAUUUGAUUUAGUUUUCAAAACAAUUGGUAUAAAAUAAUUAUUUUCAUAAUUGGUAUCAGACAACCAACAAUUGCCUUAUACUUUCUUGUUCUAUAUCUUGGCAAAAGGAAAAGAAUAUUUUAUCUCAAAUUUAUUUCAUUUUGAUACCAUAUUUUACUCUGAUACAUUCUUGAUAUAAUAUCAUUUGAGAUAAACCAUAAAAAUUGAUAUCUUUUCAGAACUUAAGUGAUUGAUGCUUUUCGAGGAAAAAAAAGAAUGAACUUUGAAAAACUCAGCAUAUCUUUAAUCCUUGCAAAGCUCUAUCUUUGUCAUUUGAAAAGGGGAGAGAUGUGUUUUUAAAUUGACAUUGUUCCAAAAUUCCAUCUGAAUUUGCUGCAUACUUUUCAAAGGGGGAGAAAAUAUGAAAUAUGAAUUUGAAAGUUGGAUCCAAAUCAAAUUUAAAGAGGAGGAGAAGUUGUAAAAUUUGAAUAUAAUUUCAAUUGAUUUUGAUGAUAUUCUUUUAAAUUUUGUCUUCCACUUUAUUGCUUCAUCUUUGGUACAAGAAAUGAAUAUUUAGUUUCAAAUAUAUUUUGCAUUGAUAUAUUUAUGAUAUGAUAUUAUUUGAGACAAGUUCAAAAAAAAAAUCAUCAUACUUUUUUUUGAACUUAAUGAUUGAUAUCUCUUAAAGAAAAGAAAGAGAUAUCUUUUGAAAAAGUUAACAUAUCUUAUGCACAGUUUUGACACUCAAAAUCUUUAGUAUUGAAAAACUCUAUCACAACAUAUCUUUUACUUGCUUUAAAGCUUAAAGUGUACAGAAAACUUAAAAAGGGGAGAACCUUCUGAAAAUCAAAUUUUAAAAAUUUAACUUGAUUUUGAUGAUUCAUUUUAAAUCAUUUCCUUGUGCUUUUUGAUGCUGUUAAAAAGAGAAAGAGUUAUAUUGAGUAUAUGCCUAAAUUGAGCUUAAAUUUAUCACAUGCUUAAAUUUGAAUUUAAGAUAAAUUAAAGAUAAAUUGAAAUAUUCAUGAAGAAUAUACUUACAAGUACUUAGUUAUUUAACUUCAUGAUUAUAUUUGUAAAUCAAUUGAAACAUGUUAUAUUUUUAUUGCAUAUAUACUCAAAAUUUUGUCAUCAUCAAAAAGAGGAAGAUUAUUGACCCUAUGAUUGAUUUUGAUGAUUCUAAAAUUUUGAGUAUAAUUUAUACUAAUCAUGUGUUUCAAAGAUGAAUAUAGGAGUUUUUAGAUACUUAAAUUGAAGAAUCCAUCCAUGAAAAAAAUCUUCUUAAAGAUGCCAAGCCAAAGCACUUCAAAGAAUGAAAUUUCACAAAUCUAGCUCAGAGGAGUUGACCCCAGGAGAAGAGGAGUCGACUCUGACACGUUAGAAGAAAAUGACACAAGCUCGAGUCGACUCAUAAAUAAGACAAGCCGAUUCUCUAAGAGAAGAUAAAAGACUGUAUUUUCAGGACUGCAACUUGGAUCGAUCGUUGAAAAGCUGGAGUCGAUUCUAGGAUAGAUAGAGUCAAUCCUUGAGAAAUUGGAGUCGAACCUAAGUAUGGGACUACACUAACGGCUAGUUUUCUACACUAUUUCUGUAAUAUCCAGUCCCACAGCAAAAAUCUCAAAAUAUAGAAAAAAAAUAAAAUUUGGGCUAACACGUGCAAUGCACGUGCUGGAAAUUAGCAUGGAAAGAGGAUUGUGCGCGUGAACUCCCGAUGGAGUUUUUUUCAGAAAAGGAAUCCUAAAAUCCUAAGAAAUUGAGAAAGAAUUAAACUCAAAAUCCUUCCCAUUGAAACUUAUUUAAAGGCCCUAAUCCCUCUGAUUUUCCUCAUCAAAAAUCACCAAGAUUUGCUGUUUUUGUUUCCCUUCCUUUCUUCUCGAUUGUCGGUGGUUUACCAUGCUGUAGUCAUUGAAAAUUUGAUCAAAACCAAUCAAAAACUAGGUAAAUCUCCUCUAUAUCUCCUUCUUAAUCUUUUGUAAGUCUUAAGCAUGAGUUUUGCCAAAAUUUUUCUAUCAAAAAUCCAUAGAAAAUUUUGUUUUUUGAGUUCCCUAUUUUCCCUUAUUUGUUUUUGGGUUUUGUCGCUGGUUGCCAUCACCGAUCAUCGGACCUAGGCUGCCGGUCACUGCCAUGCCCUGCUCCUCCAGAUGCGAGCCUUGCCGAUGGGAAGGAAGUCACCUUGGCUUCGAGAAUAAGGGGGAGGAUGACCUCCCCUGUUCCAGUGAGGAAGAAGGGGAAGAGGAAGCACGGGUCCUCUGCUCCCGUGGGAAAAAAAAGAAAAAGAAAAAAAAGGGAAAAAAAGAAAAGAGAGAGAAUUUUUUCCUCAUCUCUCUCUUCCUAUUCUAAGUUGAAUCCCUACUUUCUCUCCCUACUUUCUCUCUCUAAAAUUUUUUUCCUAGAUCGUUUUCCUCUUUCUGCAAUUCUCUCUCCAUGAUUGAUCUAGUAAAAGAUGUUUUUUAUGAUUCUAAUCCGAUCCUAAUAAAGAAAGUCCUGAUCCGUGGUCGCUAGGUAGCAUGCCAGCACCCACCUUGAUCAAAUCCAGAUACUUAUAGAUUUGAUCAUCUUUGAUCUCAGUUGGACUAUCUGUUUUCUAUUCUAAUCAUGAUCAGAUAAAAUUAUCUUUGAUUCGACCGAUUGGGAUGUUGAGCACUAUUACUUUUACGAGCCUUGUGAGAGUGUUAGGACUUUAAUUUUUAUUGGUUAUGGUUUAAGAUUGAUAGAAAACAAUAUAUUUAGAUGAUAGGUUCUGAAGGAUGCUUUCAAGAUUGAUUGAAUCUAUCCGUUCAGUAUUUUGCGAAGGUAAGUAAUGAACUGUCUUCUCGAGAUAUUUCAUAGUUAAUUUGAAAGCAAAUAUUAGUCUUUGAAUUGUGCAUUAUUUAUGAAACUGUGUUUUGAAUGAAAAGUAAUUUCUAAAAUAAUAUGUUUAUGCAUAUGUUCAGUGGAAAGUAUGAUGUCUAUAUAUUAUAUUACAAAAAUAUUUUGAUAUGAAUCGAAUUUGUGCUCUCAGUCUAUGUUUCGAUGGACCCCACUAAUGAAGAUUAUACAUUAGCUUUCGAUCCUAUCAAUGAGGAUUAUACGUUGGUUUUCGACCCUGCCAAUAGAGGUUGUGCAUUGAUUUUUGGCCCUGCCAACGGAGAUGGUGCAUUGAUUUUUAACCCCGCCAAUGAGGGUAAACAUUGGCUAUAGUCAAGACUGUUGAACUAUGUGUGUUUUGACUCGAUUCGAAUUUAUGAUCAUAUAUAUAUAUAUAUAUAUAUAUAUAUUUUGAAUAUUUAAAAAUAUUUAUUUUAUUUAAGUAAGCAUGAAAUAUGUCUUUGUGUUAUUUAUGGCAUUAUUUUUGAACAUUAUAUCAUAUGAUAAUAUUUGGAAUGUUUAGUUGAGAUAUUCAUUAUUUAUUGGACUGUCUAGCUCCUUACCUCUCUUUUCAUUUUUCAAAUUUAGUUUCUUAAUUAUAGGCAUGGGUAUUAUUUUGAGAGUGAGCUAGAAGCGAGAAUCAACAAUAUAGAUUUAUCAUGAUGUUUUUAUAAGAUUUUUAUUUGAGAUGUAAUUAAUGUGAGUUGAUUUUGGACUAAAUUUAUUAUGAUUUUUGCUGUGAUGUAUUGAUAUCAUUUUUGAAAUAUCUUGCAUAUUUGUGGAGAAAAUUUUUCAUAAGUAUCCGGUGAUUGCCAUAACCUUCGGCUCAUGAUCUCAGAUCGGAGGCGUAACAUUUUCAAUGAUUAGUUUUUGGCUCCAAUGGCUGGCCCAAGCUUCCUAACGGCCAAAAUUCAUUUUCCAGCAACUCUUAAGCAUAUUAAGAGCUGGAGAAUCAAUUAGAAAGAAAACCAAGUGGAUUUAAGAGUGAAAAAUCAUCAAAUAGGAUGAGGUUCAUUGAAUAUCCUUGAAAAAAAAAGAAGAAUUAAGUGCACAGAUUUGGAAGCUUUUAAAUAGUGAUCUUCUCCAACAUCAUCUACAUCCUCUCAAGCAUUAAUUAAAGAAGAAAUCGAGCUUUAAAAGAGUGAAUCAUCAGCUUCUUCUUAGUGCCAAAAUAAGUUUAUAUUUUUUAUUUUUAUUUUCUAUGCUAAACAUUAUAUUUUGUAUUUUAUUUUCUUUACAAGUUUCUUUGAAGGAAAAAAACUUAGAGAUUAAGUCUAUCUAAAUCUGGAAUUGGAUUUGUUAGAUUUUAGUUGGUGAGCUUGCAAAAUCAAUUGGGUUAAUUGUGAGCUUAAAAAAUAAUCAGUAUACGAUUUUGGUUGGUAAGCUCAAAAAACCAACUGUGUUGAUUGUAAGUCCAAAAAAUAAUUAGUGUAUAGGUUAUGAUUGGUGAUCCCAAAAAAUCAACUAGAUUUAUUUGUAAUUCUAUAAAAUAAACACCCUGUAAUUGGAGAGAUUAUAGUGGACUUCCUAAGGGACUCUUAAGAAAUGGACGUAGAUGCAAGGUUACACCGAAUCACUAUAAAAUCUUUAUCUUUAUAUUAUGUUUUGUAUACUUAUUUUUAAUUAUUACUUUACAUUCUUAUUUACUUUUAUUAUUCUGCUAUAACAUAAUUGCAUAUACCCCACAAUCACUUAAGAUAGCUUAAAUUGAAGCAUAUCAUUAUUUAAAUUUUAAAUUUAAUUAAAAUUUUUAAAGAACCUAAUUCACCAUCCUCUUGGGUUGCUAUCUUUCUGGACAGCAUCAUAUAAGGCAUCAGAAAGCCAUAUAUAUUAUUCAAGAUAUUAUAUAAAAAUAUAAAAAAUUAUACAUAUUAUUUAGGAUGUCAAAUAUAUUCAUAGAAAGUUAUGCAAUGCAUUAGGAAGUAAUAAUACUAUUUUCUUUCUUUAUUCUACAGAGAGAAAGCAUAUUUUCAUCAAAAAAAAUUCAAAAAAAAAUAGACUUUAAAUAUCUGUCUCAUUAUUAAUUAUGCUAAAUAGACCAAUCAGUUGCCACAGUGCGCUCCAUGUUAAUUUUGCUACACUGCACAUGGUGCACAAAGAAUUACUCAUUUACACAAACCCAAAUUACUUCUGGAGUAGACCAGCCCGAAUCCCAUAAGAAAAAAAUAGAAAUUCUUUGUCCACCACCCCCAAUGGAGAAAAAAUGCACCAACCAAUCACAUUGGGUGAUGUGGUGCAAUUAAUAAUGGAGUAGAUAUUUAAUGCCGCUCAAUUUUUUUUUCAAAUUUUUUUUGAUGAAAAUGUACUUUCUCUCUAUAGAACAAAAAAAGAAUAAUGUUAUUACUUCAUGAUGCCUUAUAUAACUUCUUGUGAGUACAUAUGACAUCCCAAAUAAUAUANNNNNNNNNNNNNNNNNNNNUUCUGUAUCUUUAUAUGAUAUCAUGUAGGUUAUUAUGACUUCCUGUGAAUAUAUAUACAUAUAUGACAUCCUGAAUAAUAUAUAUGACUUUCCGUAUCUUUAUACGAUAUAUUAUUGAUUAUUAUAACUAAUAGGAAGUCAUAUAAGACGUCAAAAAGUCAUAAUAACGAUAUGUUAUUGAUUAUUAUAACCAAUAGGAAGUCAUAUAAGGCAUCAAGGAGUCAUAAUAACCAUAAAAAGUCAUAUAUAUUAUUCAGAAAGUCAUAUAUAUUGUUUAGGAUGUCAUAUAUAUCUACAAAAAAUCAUAUAUAUUAUUUAGGAUAUUAUAUAUAUUCACAGAAAGUCAUAUAAGACAUCAUAAAGUAAUAUAUAUUAUUUAGGAUAUCAUAUAUUUUUAUAAAAAAAUUAUAUAUAUUAUUCAGGAUGUCAUAUAUAUUUAUAGAAAGUCAUAGUAAUCAAUAGGAUAUCAUAUAAAGAUGCAGAAAGUUAUAUAUAUUGUUCAGGAUAUUAUAUAUAUUUACAGAAAGUCAUAUAAGGCAUCAGAAAAUAAUAAUACUAUUUUUUCUUUGUUUUACAGAGAAAAAAAUAUUUUCAUCAAAAAAAAUUUGAGAAAAAACUGAGCAACAUUAAAUGUCUGCUUUAUUAUUAAUUGCGCUAUAUGACUCAAUAUGAUUAGAUGAUGCAUUUUUUCUCUAUCGAAGGGCAGUAGACAAAGAAUUACUCAAAAAAAAANNNNNNNNNNNNNNNNNNNNNNNNNNNNNNNNNNNNNNNNNNNNNNNNNNNNNNNNNNNNNNNNNNNNNNNNNNNNNNNNNNNNNNNNNNNNNNNNNNNNNNNNNNNNNNNNNNNNNNNNNNNNNNNNNNNNNNNNNNNNNNNNNNNNNNNNNNNNNNNNNNNNNNNNNNNNNNNNNNNNNNNNNNNNNNNNNNNUAAAAACUAAAAACUAAAAUAUUNUNUUUUUUUUGCUCCCUAUGAGAUUCAGGUCGGCUCACUUCUAAACCAUUGCAAUUUCGUAUAAAUACAGCCUAGCUUGGCCAGAUUUGAAAGGUUAUAUUGGCCCAAACCUACAAGUUCUAUAGAAUUUUAUACCCAACCAUCUAAACUACAAAUCCAACCAUCCAAAGUACAACAAAUCCAUGAUUCCUAUGGUUGUAUUGGUUAUCGGACCCAACCUAACCCAAUAGAACACUAAUCCAAUCCAACCCAAACUUUUAUGAAAAGGUUGGGUUGGAUUGAUUUGAGAAAUUCUAACAUGAGGUUGGAUUGGAUUAGACUAGGAAGAUACAAAAAAGUUGUUUUGGAUUAGAAUAAAUCCUUACCCUGACCAAACCUAUCUGAGUUACCGUCCUAAAUAUGCCGAGUGCAAGAGAAAGAUGAAUAUUUUUGUGGAACUGGAAGUCGAAAAGAACCAUUCAAUUUGGAUCGACAAGUGCAUGAAUGAAUGCUAUCCGUUCGACAUGCCUUGCAAAUGACACUCCUUUGCCAAACCUGUAAUGAGUUUAGCCCCUCAAGAGCACAGGAGUAAAAGAAAUACAGAACUUUUUUCCAAGUACUGUUCAUAUUUAUAAAACAAACAUAACCAAUCAUUUUUUCACUAAAAUAUAAAAAGAUCGAACCAGUUGGUAACUUGUGGACAACUUUCUUUACUCCAGUGGUAUCCCUGCUACCAGCCGGAAUUUGGCAUGUGUUGUUGAGACCGGCUUUAUCCAGGACUACUUCACAAAAAAAAAUCUAACUAUUAAAUCCCAAGUUAUUCGUCAGCAAACUAGUAUGUGUAGACACAGCUUGUCAGUUACAGUGAAUGGAGCAUCAAGAACCUCUUCUAAUAAGUCAUUGUUUGCAUGCUUUGCGGAUAAGUGUCCAAACAGUUCUACUUAUGCUAGAAUCUUAAGUGUUCAGAAUUUUUAGAGGAUUUUGCAGGAAAUAAUAGAACAAUAUUACUUGAUGAUUGCAAGAUAAGCUAUUUUACUAUAAAGAUAUAAAUUUGGUGGAAUCAACAAUAUAUUCACAGAUUAUCAUAGUAACAUAUUAGUGGUAUGAUCAGUAUGUAAAUUUUACAAUCUUUAACAGUAUUAUUCAGCUGUUACUCAGAAUUUUAGUGUCCAUCCUAUAACAUCGAGGAUCAUCCUUAAUGGCUGAAUGGUGUGGACAACGGCAGAUAUAUUUCUUUUUGUGUUAUUAUGUCAAGUAUUUGUGAUUCUGCAUGGAAAUGGAGCAUCAUUACCAUCUUAAAACUGUCAGAGCCCAAGCCUUGACCAUGUUUCUGCUUUUGCUAUACUGGUGGUUGUACAGCUCUAAGCUCUUGCCAAAGCUGCCAUAUAUAACUAGUUGGGUUACCAUAGGUCAACUGCUCUGGUAAUCUUUGGUCUUUUAGGGGUAUGUUUUAUUUCGUUUAUCAUAGAUUUCAAGAUUCAAUUGUUUGUUUUGUAUCAUUUCUCGUCUCUGUCAGUUUGAGUAGACGUUAUAUGCACUGGCAGCAUUUUCCCUGUGCCUGAAAUAAAACAUUGUAGAUUAAGAUUCUUCCAUAGUGAAAUUGUUCAUGGAAGUCAUCAGAAACAUAAUUUUUAUCCUCUGAUAUGUUUACCUGCCAUGAAAAAUCUGAAGACAUUCAAAAUUAACUUCAUGGACAUCAUAAAAGAUUCUUGAAUGGAAAUGAAACCAUAGAAAUGAUGGAUGGAAAGUUCAAUAUGCAUCGAGAGCAUCACACGAAACUGUUACACCAAAACAGAGUAACGAAAAUAGAUAGUCAAGAUGAAAUAAUAAUCAAACAACAAACUCAUAUUUAUUACCAAGCCACCAACGUUUCUUUCCAUUGCAUACAUCCUCUUAGUUUACAAGAAACAAAAACAAAUCUCAAGAAAAAGAAACGAGACCUCAGGUUAACAACCAAACUGUUUUUAUACCAUUUGUAUCACCUAUCUCCAAGUCCUAAUAAUUGUAAAAACUGCAAGCACAAAAAUCCCGCACCUGUUCCUAUUUAAAUGGACCAGUUGGCAUCAACAGCACGAAGCAUGUGCAUCUGUCAGGAUAAUCUCAUGCUCGUCUUCUAUCCAUCUCCAAUUUGGAUGGAACUUUCACAUAUGAAGAUCACAUAGCAACCAAAACUUGAUGAACAGGUCUUAAGCCUCAUGCCAUUUUUGUUUGUAUUUGCCGAUGGACAUGUACAAGGAACUCAACAUAGGAAAGGCCACCAGGAGCCUUGUCUUCAACCAUAUAUGAGAAGAAAAACAUACCUGCAAAUUUAGAAGUCCAGUGCAAGUGUUAGCAAUAACAGCAGUUACUCGGCACAUAAAUCAGCAAGAUAUCGUGUACUUUGCUAAAGAUUGUGCAACAAAUAAAACAACUUUGAAUAACUUCAAAUAAUAUGUUUUGGCAAACAUUGAACAGAAAAACACAUCUAUGCCUCGUUACUAUUGGAGAAACUUCUGAAAGCAAGGGUUUGUUAACCAACCUGAUGGAUCUCCUUUUCUGCAUAAUCGAAAACUGCACCAAAAGUUCUUAUUGUCAAUGUUGCUAUUUUAACUACCGAAAGCUAAAAUUACAGAGAGCAGAAUAUUUGCCAUACCGCAAGUAUGAACAUCUCUGGCGUCUAAUCUCGUUAACAACAUCAUUUAGUUUCUUUGAAAGAUCAUUAUCAAAUUGCUGCAGUACCAGCUGCGAGGACAAUGAAAUGAAUCAGAAGUACACCCCAUGUUGAACCAGGAAAAGAGAAGCAUGGCUGAUGAUUCUAAACUUUUACAAUAUGAAUCUACUAGUAUAAUGAAGGAAUAUAUCAGAUGCAUGCACUUCUUUUUCAAUAAAAUUGGAUGGACUUAUUAGUUGUUUAUAAACAUAUUUAUCAAGGAAAUUGUUCAACAAAUUCAAUGCCUAUGGUGUGCUGUAUGCAUAUAACAUUUUUUAGUAUUUGUCCAAUAAUAUUUCAGAGACUGAACAUUCAGGGAAAUAUCACUCAAAGCUUAGGGAUUCAUAUACAAAAAACCUACUUCACAUAUAAAAGCUAAACAAUAAAAAGUGAGGGUUCACCCAUAGAUUCAAAGCUAGGUCAUUUUUAAAUAACUAAAGUGCAUAUCAACGUAAGUUCAUAGUAUUCCAUAGUGAUAAAACCAGCAUGUUUUAUCUUAUUGAAUUUCAUGCUUCGGAUAGGAAAAAUUGAGGGAUUCAUAAUUUGAAGAUCAGGAGGUCAUACAAAAGAAAAAAAAAGUCUCUUAUUUGGCAAAACCAAAUACCUGAUUAAGGCUUCAGACUUCAAGUCAUCUUACAAAAAAGAAAAAGUUUCUAGUCAUAAAUGACUGACACCAUAGCACAAAGGCAUCAGUUGUUAAACAAUGGAACCUGCGAUUCGUGGUGGCACUAUGGUAUUUUAGCCUCAAUGUUGAUUGCAGCAAUUAUGCCGAAAGACCAAAGAGAAAAUUCAUUAUUCUCUGGAAAAGCAUGUUCAUGACCUCAGGUAGUAAUGAAGCCAAAGUAAAUAUUUUGAAAUAGGUUUGUCAUGGUUAACUUCCGGGAAAAUUGCUAAGUUCAGGUCAUAGGAGAAUGCACCUUAGCUGUACAAGCAGUCUCAAGGUGAAAGAAGAUAAAUAGAGAAUUUACAAAUCCUAUAGUAAAAAUGUUAAGCAACUAUGCUUUGAAAUGAUCAGGUGUGACCAGCAAUCCAAACCACCAAACACUGCAAUUGUAUCGACAGCAGAAGUAUCCACAGACAACCGAACUUGAGAAAUUCACUUGUACAAGGUAAAAUAACCAGCCUCCCCACCUAGAUGCAGGCAUAUCGGCAAUCACCAGCUUCAUGAACAUAAUGAUUAUCCCAGCAUCAAGCUACCAAGAAUUACGCAUGCAGAGGAUACAUGAGCUAAAACUGCUUUGCCUAAUCUGGUAAAUGAUCCGAAAUGUCCUACCAUAUUUCUUACCUAGCUGUACACCUCUGGCACAUAUGAAAUUUUCCUUCAAGCUCAAUCAGAAAGAGAUUAUCGAAUCCCAUCAUGAAUUGCGGAAGGAAGGAUGUGAUCAUUUAACAUACUUCAGUCAUCCAGAGAUAAAAAACUCCUUUGUUCUUCAAGCAUAUUUACUUAAUUUCCAAAAUGAGAGCUCCUGUUUGAUUUUAAUCUACAUGCAAAUUCUACAAUAGACCCUAGCUUAAAUCAAAACCCACAGAGGAGGCUUUAAUAAUAAGAUACCAGGCCAUAAUAUUGGGUGGUAGUUGGCUGCUUCAGAUGGUUGCUAUGGAGCAGCAUUACUACCAAGUAUUGCAAGUCUGAAUUUCCUUUUUAAUCACUUACAGGCUUGCCACUUUACCAUCAAAAUGACUUUAUUAUGCAAAGGCAACUAAAAACAAACAUUCAGUCAAUUAAAGCAAUUCUCAGCUGCAUGAAUGCAAUAACAGGCAUAUGAUAGAACCAUAACCAUAUGUUAAGGAUUUAGGUCGACCACCAUCUGGUAGAGACUAAAACAGACAACUUGUUUUUAUAAUUCUGGAUUUUAAGAUUCAUUGGCCAUACAAAAUUGCAAAUCCAGUAAAUAAAUUCUGUUUAACACACUGAUAAAUCCUGAUUCAUUAUUAAGGUCUUUAAUGCGUUGUAUGCAGUCUUCUGAAAAACAACUCCACAGGUGUUUGGCAUGCCAAAUAGAUCCUCCAGAAGAAUACCCAAACCUAGAAAGUUGGAUAUGGUAUGAUAGAAGAGGAUAGGGGUGGAUAGGAAGCGAGAGAGGUGGAUGGAAUCACAGUUUCCAUAUUUUAAAAAGAGAUGCCUCUGUAUAACCCCUAAUCUAUGGGUUUACAUUGAGUGUAGAUCAAGAUGUGAAUUGAUGGAGGAGCUGUUCGAGCUUUCAUUGGAUUUCUUUGAAAUUUUGAUGCAUCAGAUAACCAAAAGUGACCAAAUUCAGAGAACAAGCUCCAAAGUUCAGCUAUAUAUGUAUAUGCAAAGACCACACUGAAACAGGUUGACUUUAACUACUAAGUCGCAGAAGGUUUAGACGCAUGCCUGGGUUGGAAUUCCGUCCGCAGAAGAAACUCCAAAUAAUUGUUGGAGAGUAUCUGGAUUCACCAUGUUUCCUACAUAAAUUACAGCAUCCUCACCAUUUUCCAUCAGAUAAAUUCCAUCAUCAUUUACAUGCUCACUGGAUAAAGGGAUUGUAGCUGAUAAAAGAGAUCCGUCAUCCUCCUGUCACAUCAGAAAAACUCAAAUUUAAACAUGGAUUUACUAUAAUAAUACAGUACAUUGUUUGCAGAUUUUUUUCAGAAUAUUAACUAAUCAGUACCUUUGAAACCAGGUCAUGAAUAGAUAUCAUCCUAGGAUACACCAAAGGAACAGCAAGCGAAAUUGGAAGUGAAGCAACAUGGCUGACCCAGUAGGAGCGGUCAUCCAACCGCCCAUCAUUUCGCAAGCCAAUGCUUUUGACCAGAGCUGGAACAUAACAAAGUAACAAAAUCAAAGUCACUAGCAGGCAGGUAUACAGCAUUUCUGUCAUUCUACAUGUACAAGGUUGAUUUAGUCUGACAACGGCAAUAUUGCUUAGUGUCACAAUGGCAAUAUUGCGCAAGGAAACAAGCGAGCAAAAUCAGAGUGAAUGUUGACACACCUAACACUAAUGUAACCAGUACCAAUAUGACAUUGAAGAUCAUCUUUUAGAUUUAAUUUAUAAUAGCAUGUAAAACCACACAUAAAUGUAUAAUAUAAUAUAUUCCACAAAUUCAACCACCGACCCUGACCUAUUUUAUCUUCUCUCAACACCCUCUCUUUGACCACUCCCAACCCCCUCUUCUUUUGCCUGGGUAGCAUCUAACAACUGCAUACCAUUGGUCACAUCCAUCACUAGUGCGUACUUGAUCACAAAUUGUCGUCAGGAUCUUACAAACCACAGUCUGGUAUGAUCCAGACCUAAAUGGACCUCAGUGAUCUGGAUCAGAUCCCUAGAUUAAGAUCAGUAUGGAAAAUGAGAUAUGGACUGUAGAUCAUAUAAUCCUCGAAUUCUAAGAUCCAGAUACAAGUCAUCUUUUUGCAAACUAAAGCUAUUGCAUUUCCAUUCUUUAAGAUGAAUUAGUUUCUGACUGAUGCAAUGUCCAAAUCAUCACUAGCAAACUUUCAAAACAUCAAGGGUUUAAAUCUUAUCAAAUUUUUUUUCAACUUUUAAGAGUAAAGAAAAUUGAGAUUUUGUUGUUUCAGAACUAAGAGCUAGGGUUUUUUUCCUUUUUCAAUCUCUCUCCUAUCUUGUUGAAAAUAUAGAUUCUUUCUACAACCACUUAAAACAAAGAAACAUUCAAUAAGCUUCUUCUACAUACCUUGCUUUUGGGUCAAAUUACUCAAAUUAAGAUAUUCUAUGGAUUUAAAGGGUGAAAUAAAACUAUAUUAAGCAAUCAAAAAUUGCCCCAUCCAUCCUCCCUCUAAAUCAUCAUUGGAAACAAUGUUAUGACUCCCUAGGUCCCCCAACCAUUGUCAGCUCAAUAAGCUUCUUCUAUAUAGAUUCUUUCCACAACCACUUACAACAAAGAAACAAUCAAUAAGCUUCCUUCCAUAUACCUUUCUUUUGGGUCAAAUUACUCAAAAUUAAGAUAUUCUAUGGAUUUAAAGGGUGAAAUAAAACUAUAUUAAGCAAUCAAAAAUUGCCCCAUCCUCCCUCUAAACCAUCAUUGGAAACAAUGUUAUGACUCCCUAGGUCCCUCAACCAUUGUCAGCUCCCUCCACUCUUGUGUACCUCUACCACAUCCACUUGCCUCCAGACUCCACUUGCAAUGAACCUCAUCUGCCAUGCCAUCAGCCCCUUUCCAUUGCCCUCCUCCAAGAUGAGUGCCAACCCUCCUUUAAGUCUUGCUUAAGCCAAAACCUUGACAGGGUCAGGUAAUCAAAUCAAGAAUCUGAUUACAAACAUUAGUGUUUGCCCAUGCUCAACGUAUGCCAUAAAGCACAUAUCAUGCCAAUGGGUCACAGGCAGUGCACCAGUGCAUUUAUGACAUACUUUAUUGUUGGAUAAGGCUUGAUUACAUGCAUAGCAGCAUAAUAUGUAUACAUGCAUAUAUGCAUGCAUUCUUGCACCCACUUGGUGCAUAGGUUAAAGACCACCAAAGCAUGUGAUUUUUUUGGUUUGUAGGCAUUUUUCGUUCUACAGAUAAUGACCAGUGGUGUGGACUGGGUGCCCCAUUUUCAGUUCUUCUCCAAAUCCAAUCUUUAUCAUUGGGAUAAGGCUUGGUGCACACCUACAUAACAUGCAUAGAUGUGUAUGAACGUAACCAAGAAAAUUUAAUAAUGUCAGGUUCAUGAACAAGACAAUCAAUAAUGAACUCAGUAAAUUUAACAAAGAACAAUUUAAAUUAGAGUUCAGUUGACAACUUGAUUGAUAUUUCAUGCGAAGUAACACUGAUAAUGAUAAUUAUAUUCAUGCUUGAACUAUUAUAUCAACUAUUAAAGAUAGGCAAACAAGUUCUUUCAUGCGCAGCAUAGAGUAUGUACCAGAAACAUUUUAACCUCAGGCUGGGGAAAUACCUAGGGUAUAUAGAGGCAAAAGCUUAAGAGCCUCCGGAAGAAUUAGCUGUCCGGAUGAUGAUACAGUUGCACAAUAUUUACGAUAGGAGUGUAAGAUGUUGAUGCAGAGGUUUGUUAUUUGAUCCCGAACUUGAGAUAGAGGACUAGUUGGGAUGCCAUUUGCAGCUGUAGGAUGCAGAACAAUGAAAAAAGUCAUUUACUGCAAGAGCAAACAACAAUACUUAAGAAUAUUUUACCUUGCUUCAGAAAACAGGCAAACUGAGUGUCCAGAUCAGCUGAACGAAACAGAUUGCUAAGCAUGCUGGUGCAAGGAAGCGAGAGAUUUAUAAUUCGAAUUCUUCUUUGCCCAUACACUGUAGUGUAAAGAACUGCACACUGGACAAGGAAGCAAUAGUAAACAAGAUUAACUCUCUAAAGUAAUAGAUGAUAUUGCCAUCAAAAGUUAAACACAAUGUUAAUAAUUGAAACAUGAAGUGUAAGCUAGGUUGUACAAGGCACAACAGAACUGAGUUGAACGAUGUGAAAGCAGCAGUGCUCAUCUUUGCACGUAAGUUUUUAAUCAUACCUGGAAAGCACAUUCUGAACCCUCCUGGAACUUAUCAUCAUGUUUGAAAGUGACCAUUAUGGUUUUGUCGCAAUCGAUCUGUGUCAAACAAGCUUUCUUAGGGCUGCAAAUCAAUAUGCAAUGUAACAAUAAAGCAGAAUAGACGUCUUGUCAUAUCAAUUCAGUGUUAGCAAAUCCUAUUCUAACUGACAUUGUAAAAAGUGUUUGAAUCAGAUACAUCAGUAGGGAGGACGAAACUUCCCCAUAAAUGAAAAAAUUAGAAGAUCGGUCUUAAUGAAAUAUUCAAAAUGGGACCGAUCAGAGAAGAGUUAAAUGCAAUAGUACCGCUGCCGUUCUAUUAUAGUGUCGGAAUGUGGCAUAGUAUCCGAUUUGGCAUACCGAGUGUUGGUACACUCCCAAACCGUAUACCGGUCGGUACCGGUAUGGUAUGAUAUGAUCAUUACACACCGUUAUCGACCGGUAUGGCAAACUUUGGUAAAAACUAAGUGAAAGGGAUAGGUUAGCAAUGUUGAAUGGAAGUGUAUGUGAAAGCAGAUCCUGCUCUGUAUUUGGACAUCCAAUUCAGUAAAAUUAGGAAUUCAUCAUAUAUUUCAAGAUUAAUAAAGUAUUUAUAAUUCUUGAUCAAGAAUGCAGCUUUACAAAAGUAGCUUAGUUUUAAGGACACGAUUCUAAUCAUCAAUCAUUUUCCCCUUUUCGAAUAAUUAUUCACUUUGUAAUCGCAAUUUAAACAGAAGUUCUACUUUUAUCUUUACCAAAAAUCCAAUUAAUAAACAAGGUAUUAUGUUAAAUAUGCAUAUUAUCUUUAUAUUAGUUGACUUGACAGAUAAGUCAAAGAUGUGUAGGUAUAUGAGUUUAAUAAAAACUGUCAUAUUGGAAAAAACAUGGUGUGAUUGAUUUCCAUAUCUUGAUGCUAUUAUACAAAAAGGGCAAGGACAACAAAGAUUUUAUAUAUAUACAUAUACGUGCGUGCGUGUGUGCAUGCGUGUGUGAGUGAUUGCAUGACAUGAUAUAGCAGAGAGAAGCUUCCAAUUCAAUCUUGUCAUGUUGCUAAAAUAGAAGAGGAAGUGGGUGCUGGGAAGUGGAUAUUUUAGACCUUCUAGUAGGGAAGGGCUUAGGAAGCAGGUGUGAGUUAAAGAUUCUGGGAAGAUUCUGAAUUGGUGCAUUAACCUAGGUAGAAGAUUCCGGCUAUUAAGAAACAAAGUCAUGAUUUAUCAGUGCUCACAUGCUCAUUCAUGUAAUCAUAAUUAUUUAUGAAAACAUACAAGAGCCUGGAUAAAUUCAGCCAUCAUUUCUAAAAUCUUAUGACAGCAACAGAAGAAUAGUUUUUGGUGGCCAAUAACAUAGUAGGUUAGUCCUGGUAUCUUGCCAGUUAUCUACUCGUACCUGACUACUUAAAAUCGAUUCAACCCUUCAAAUGAUUUGUUAAGAAAUUCAAAAUGUGAAAUAAAUUCACAGCAGCAUGAUUUCCGAAGUCAGAAAACAGCUUAAAAAAUAUAAGAGUACCGACCGCAGGAAGAUCAAUAUCAGUAGGAAUGCGCUUGCAAAAACUUCCAGAGUACUCCUGAACUUGAAGGCCCUAUGAAGAAGUAAAAUAGAGAAAACAAUAUUCAUGGCCCAAGGCAAGUUUAGUUUAAAAAUAUAACCAUUAAUUCUAGCAAGUACAUCUCUCAUAAGACUUACCUGGCUGCAUCUUACGCGCAUCACAGCCUCAAAACCUUGGGGUCUACUGAUAUUCCAUCUAAGAUCAUUGUAGAGUUUAGCAGUAUCGGAAAGCGCAGAAAAUGGGUAGUAAUAAUAAACCUGCAACAAGGAAAAAGAAUAUAAAUUACUUCUCAAAUGCACCCACAUCUGAAACAACACCUAUCACCACAUUCAUGGUAUUAUGUGGCUUCAUUCUUUCAUUUCAGUACAUCCUCAAAAUAAAUUUAUAAUUUGUUAUCUUUGAUUCAUAACACAUUCGAUGUUUAAAAAAAAAAAAUUAUCACCUAACUCAUUUGUACCCAGAAGAAUAUCUACAGAUGUCAUAAAUAUAAAAUGUUUCAGUUCCAUUGAUUUUAUUAACAGGUAAAACGGUGCCCUUUGCCAUAAUUUUUGAUAAAACACGAGAGCUAAGAAAGACUACCUGUCCUCCAGUAGUUCUUGGAACAACAGAGAUAGAAGCGAUGUCCACAAAGGUCUGGGUCGUAAGGAAUAUAUCCACACAAACCUGGAAAAUGUUAUGUUAUUAUUUUGCCUACAUCCAAGAUAGAUUCGUUUCAAACUUGAGCUCGGUUACUUGUAUAAAAUCACCUGAUAUUCAGCAAACUCUAUUGCCAUUGUCUUUAGAGUCUUGUCUGCUGGCUGAAGCAAUUUAUGGGCCUCCUGAAAUCCAGUGAAGAAUGUUUGCCUAUUCAACUUUCAUUUAGACUUGAAUUUAUGAUGGAAUCUAUUUAGGCCUAUAAUAACUUACAAACAAAUCAGAAAGUUAAUUUUAUCAUUUAGACUUCUACUAGAAGCAUAAAGUGCCACAGUAAAAUUAAGAAUAUUAAGGACAGGAAAAUUAAGAAUCAAGCCACACUGAUCUAACUGCAAGUCAGCUUAUGGAUAAAAAGUUAAAGACAUUCUAAAAAUGAAUAGCUGAACUGUCAUGAAUUUUUUUUUUCGAGUCAGAACUAUCAAGGGUUCACGACGAUUCCAGAUUCUGGCAUCUUUUGCAAUGGCUGAGUCCCUUGAAGCUCGUAGUUAAUAAGUAUCCACAAAAUACCAUUAUUAAUGUAUAAGCAAAUGUACAAGAAAUCUGACAAUCAAGAGCACAAGAAUAUUAGAAGCUAUGUAUCGUAAAACCUUAUCUCCUGAAGAAAUAUUUGUUCUUCCUUCUGCUUCUCUGGAGGAAAGAGACCCAAUACCAACUGAUGGCAAGACUGCAAGGAACAAAAUAUAAUCAGAAGCUAUUCUAUUAAAUAUAACAAAAUACAACCAAAAAAGAGAUGAAGCAAACUUUACACCCAUGAACUAAAAAGGUUGAGGCCAUACACAUUACGGAUUACAUACAUGUAUACAAAACAAAGAUACAGACACCCAAUUUUCUGCCCAUCUGCCUAAAUUGGUCCCAAAAGGUUGAAAAUUAUAAUCAACGAAGCACCUUAGGUACCAUAAUAAUACAUGUUUCAUUUUAAAGUGUAUCAGCAAGGGCAGAUGAAUAGUUGCAACUUGCAAAUAAUGAAACUUGGGUGCAAAACUAUAAUAAUUGCCAUUUGACAUUUUCAUCCCUAAUUCAACUAUAAUAAUAGGGCACCAUUUAGUUUGGAGUAAAGUCUUUUUUUCCCAAUAAAAGCUUUGAAAUAUCAAGAAUCAAACCUAUAUUGACCAAGGGUGGGUAUCGCAUGUGUUGUAUCAAGGAUCAUGCUGACAGAAGAUAUCAAUAGUUAUGUAUAGAUAGCCCCCAAAUAAACCCUUGGUACGGCAUUUGUGCCCUCCAAAAUCUAUCAUGUUUUCCAGUCUCAAUGGUAUGUUUUUGUAAGAAAUAAAGCAGGGGUGUUGAUCUAAGUGUCCUAAGCAUGACCUUCUGUGUGCGCUGAAGUCAAUGACAUUCAAAUUGUCAAAAAAGAAAAAAAAAGAUCAUAUAAAUUGGAGCAUAUAACAUAUUUGCGAUAAAGAUCUAUAACGUGCAUACUCAUAACAUAAUGAACAAUUAGAAAUAGCAUCCAGGUUUUUCAUAAAGACACUUCACUUAAGAAAAAAUUACGUAGGAGCAUAAACAAAUCAAUGUUCUCCCCUUCUUCUUGUACUAACAGCUGGUGGGAAUCCUUAAAUUAGCAAUCAUUUUGUUGUAUUUAGUUCGACAUCUAACAAGAGGUUGAUCUCUACCCAAAUUUGAAUUAAAUUUCUCAAGUUAUCCACUUUACAACUCGAUUUCCUAUUUCUUUACUUCGUCUGAAAUUCAAAUAAAAACAUGGUUGUUCUAGCACCAUAAUUCGAACAUUAAAGGUUGAAUCAUGUGAUGAUUGACAUUGGAUGCUUCAAGAAUCUCCCUUUGCCCAUUUCAAUCUACAAAUUGAGAACAAACCUUUUUCCCUUUGCUUGUUUCAAUCUACAAAUUGAGAACAAGCCUUUCUCCCCACGAGAAAUUAUUCCCUAGCAGCAGAUACCGCUCGGUCUAGGCAUGAAUUCAGACUUGGCAGCAAGGUGACCGUGAUCUAUCCUUGAAUCACCCAAUUCAGGGUCAGUUCAAGUGGUUCAGUUGGUAUUUGCCUGAAACAAACCCCACUGUUUUGUUUUAGGGUUGGCACUUUGCACAGUAUAUACCAAGAUGUACAAACUGAAUCGACCAGUUUUCAAACAUUGGUUUCAUAAUUGCUAACCCUUAUCUCCAAGGUUUCCACCUCUAACCAACUUUGAUCAUCUCCCCCUAACACUACUUCAUCAUCUAAAAAUUAAAUAAACAAACCAACCUUCUAUGUUUGAACAUCAGUUAAUACAUAAAUAACAAAUGAAAGGACUUAACUACUGUGGCUUUCAAAUUACUAAUAAUAAUAAUAAUACUUAUAUAAUAAUAAUAAUAAUAAUAAUAAUAAUAAUAAUAAUAAUAAUCACAUUAGUGAAAAACCACUAUUUCAGCCUUUAUUUUAAACAUUGAUGUAAGCUUCCUGCAAUAAAACCAAUUGGCAUGUCCCCUGGUCAUUGGCAGCCUUUAUUUUAAACAUUGAUGUAAGCUUCCUGCAAUAAAACCAAUUGGCAUGUCCCCUGGUCAUUGUUCCACCACCCUCUAACCCAAUUUAAAUUGUUCUAACAAAAUUAAUUCACAAACUACAUCAUAUAUAUCCCCAUUAGCUAGUGCAGUAGUAAACCUCCAACCAUUUGCAUUUUCCUUGUCCUGGAGUUUUCAUUAGGUUAGCUAGUAAAUAACAAGAACCCAUGUCUCCAAAGAUAUUUCUAAACCUUUAUUAGUAUUUUAUAAGCCUAAGACAGUUUAGUUGUUAACCUGUGCAUUUUACCGAUUUUUAACACUUAAGUGAGAUUCUGAUAAAUCAUGUCCACCUUUAAAGUGUUCAUUAGCUUCAGCAAUGAACCAUUUACAGUUUCGUGGUCUUCCCUCUUUCUCAUAAACUGAAUGGUAUUUGCACUUGGUUCACCUGAUUAUUUACCUGCAUCUCUAAAUUUCUUAUCUAUCAUAAAGAUAUUAUAAAUUAUAAAGAAUUAUCAGAUAUAAAAUUAUGCUGCACAGUACCAUUAGUAACCAAAUACAGCAAAAAUAUAUUAAUGUGGACAAGUUAGAACAUUAUAAGCAUGUUAUAUACCCAACAUAUUUAUGUCAGCCUUUACACCCAAAGUAGCAUUGUGGAGCUUUUAAUCCUUGUUCACCGUAUCAUUCAGCUCUUCCAAAGGCCACUUCAAAUUUAAGAGACUUUUUUUUCACAUAAAAAUCUAAUCUUAUGCAGCACUUCACCAGCUUUGUUGGAGAUAACCAAAUCAACCAGGUAAUUGGAAGUCCAUUAGUUAAUCUGGAUGCCGAUAUGCAUCCAUAUCGACUUUCUCACAUGGGCCAUAGCCGCCAUACAAUUUUAUGUGCUAACGAGAAUGAAGAUGGGAAGAGAUGACUCAUUGUUUUUCUUGGGCAGGGAAGGGGAAGGAGGAUUCAAUUCUGAAAUAGUUAUUUUCUUUCUCUUUCUUCUAAAACUUGAUUUUCACAAGAAAAAUUGCAAAUUUGAUCAACAUAACUGAAGUUAGGUCAGGAAAGUGGCAGCAACAGAAACCAUAGGGACAAAGAGGUUUUUCUCGGAGCUUGGUUAAUAUACUGUUCAUAAGCCUGUAAGUUUCUUCCCCUUUUCUGCCAGAGCUUCGGUUAAAAAACUGUUCAUAAGCUUGUAACAUCAAGCCCAAUUCUAGCCAAUUUAUUGCUACACCAGCAUACAACAUGCUGGAAGCUUUUGCUCAACUAGAUGCAUGUAAACUAUGGCAGUAGUUUUCAAGCAAAGCCAGCAAACUGAGAUCCCCAUGCUAUCACCAAAUUGGGAGUUAAAAAAUGCUGACAUGUAGUGAUCAAUACUCCUACUUCCAGAGUCUCAAACAUUCUAUGAAAAAAUGAAAUAUGACAGUUCUUAUAGUAGAAGAAUUUUAAAACUUCUAAAAAGCAUUCAUCCUACAGUUCUACUUAAAUAUUUUGUUAAAUCAAGAACCGAACCCAAAACCAACUGAGAGACAAGAAAAUUUUAAAUCUACAAGAUGUGCAGAUGAUUGAGAUAAUGAGCAAAAAAUGCAUGAUUUUGUUCUAGUACCAAAUAAAAAUAAAUGUACUGUGAGGCUUGCCUGAUUGAAACACAAGAAGCUUUCCACCUGUGGGUUUCAUAGCCAGGAACCCAGCCUGAAAUGGAUUGAAGAUAAAUAUAUAAGAUUAGUCUGUUUUUCUUUGAGAAAAAUAGCUAACAUUAUGGAUUCUGACACUAAGGAUUGAGCAUCACUCCACAUAUGUAUAUAUGAAAAUACCAAGGUAUGCUGAACCGGUACCGCCGGCCGUAUCGGCCGGCCGACGGUACAAAUCGAUACGGUUUUGUGCCGUACCGAACCGACGAAGGCAAGCGGACCCGAAUCGGAAGAAAAAAAGAGAGAGAGAGAAAUAGAGAGAGAGAAAGAGGAAGAAAGAAAAAGAGAGGGAAAGGAGUCGGCGGGGCCGCCGGAUGGCCUCCGGCUGACUGCCGUGGUCGCCGGAGGGCGCAAUCCACGCGCGCGGCGCCGCAGGUGUAAAACAGGGGCGUCGCCCCUGUUUCGCAAUUUUUUUUUAAAAAACCUAGUUUUAAGUGAAGUCGGCAAAUAGUUUGCCGGCUUCACGAUUUUUGUAUUUUUUUUUAAAAAAAAUCCCUUAAGUCGGCAACUAGGUUGCCGACUUCAUAAUUUUAAAACCAAAAAAAAUAAAAAAUCAAAACAGACAGUCGUUUGUUUCGAAAAAGAAGAAGAGGACGAGUCGCAGAGGGGCUCCGCCCGCUCGACCGCCCUCAGGCCGUUGGCGUCGACUCGCCGGCCACUNNNNNNNNNNNNNNNNNNNNAGGCGCCGUCCGUCCGGUAGGUCCCUCGUCCCCCCUCCGAGCGCUCUCUCUCUCUCUCUCUCUCUCGCUCUUUUGAAAGUCCUAUCGGACGAUACGGGACUCGGAAGCCCUCCGGCGGCUGUAGCCGGUCACCGCCAGCCUCCGACGGCUCCCACCUCCCUCUCUCUCCUCCUCUCUCUCUCUUUCACUUUCUCUCCUUUUUUCUUUCAUACCGCCCGUGUACCGAAUUUACCGGCCGAAUCGUACUGGUUCCCUGCCGGUCCGGUGCGAUACGGAGUGUACCGGCCGGUUCGGCACGGUAUAGAAAACCUUGAAAAAUAUAUUUAUAAUUUUUUAAGUAAAGCUCUUAAUCACCCAAUUAAUUUGAAUUUAGGACUUGUUUGGCUGCAAAAUAUAUUUUGGAAGGAAUAUCCUUCCACUGUUGAAGGAAGAGACCUAUACGACAGAAUACGACCUUUUUGGCAUCUGAUAGGAUGGAUAAGUGCGGGAAAUAAGGGGCAUUAAUACACAUUGAACUUCAAGAUAGUAAGGAUUUUUAUCACAAAAACGAGAUUGCCCUCUCACUUUUUUGAAUAUAGGCAAAUGGUAAUCGAAGAAGGGAAUAAGGGUAAGCCUAUUCCGUGAUAGAAGUCUGUUCAACCAUUUUGGUGGAAUAGAUGUAUAUUCUGCAGGCCCACUUAUACCCUCACAUGUUACAAGCCCCUUUCCAUGAUCCUUUUUGGUGUUAUGCGAGGAUAUCCCCCAUUUGGAAGAAUAACCCCACUCUUAUUCCACAGCCAAUGCCCCUAGUACUACAGAAAAGUGUAAAGCUUCAGUAUCUUAUAACUAUACAGCAUCAGAGAGUUCAGAUCCCCAUGUAAAUAGCUCUUAGAAAUUAAAAUAUGAAAGAAAGAGGAACAAGCAUAGUCAGGAUGGUGAACAACCUUAACAAAAUGCAUACCUUGAUAGCUGCACCAAAAGCAGAAUCAGCGACUCUGUUAUUUUCAAACAUGUUCGGGAUGCUAUCCAGCAAUUGCUCCAAAUUUUGACGGCACUAAAUCCUCGGAAUAAAACAAGAAAGUUCUCUAAGCAUGAAAAACUUUGCUGACAGAGGAAUGCAAGUACAAGUCAGAGUUUUAAAAAAAAAAAAGCAAUCCAAACCUCAGUAAGUUGAACAAUCAGGUCGGUAUGAAGGGGUGUAUAAACAUCUUGUACGUCAGGAACAAUGAGCAUCAAAGGCUGCAAAUGUAGUAAGAAUUAAUAAAAUAAAAGAAUCAUUUCAUGCAAUCCAUUAGUAUCAAUAGCAUCCUGUGCAAAUGUAUCUAACUCCAUAUCCUCAGAGACUUUGUAAGUGAAGAAAUGCUGAGAGAUUUCUUUGUAGCUUUUCCACAAUGCUUGUCUGCUAUUGGAUAAGCAUCAAAAUGAUGAUAUGCGUGCAACAUGACAAUGUUUAACAGUGCAUAGACAAUCUAGACUUGAAUAUGUACCUAGCAAAUAAUCUUUUCAUAUUUUAUGAGACAUUUAAUCCAGAAUUUAGUCUAGAAAAAUGUUUCCUCAAACAAUACAGACCUUGCCAAAGAAUACAGUGCACAUGCUGUAUCUACUAGAUGACUCAAGGCACACGAGCCCAGCCAAAUUUUAAUUUUUAGUAAAAACAUAAGGUAAAUAUUGACAUAAAAACUUGCACAUGAACCGACCAGGAUACAAACAUUUGAACUCAAUUCCCAAGGUUUACUUCGUAAACAUGAUAUCAUCCUUCUUGAGGUUUUUACCACUCAAUUUUUGUCCCCAGCAGGUCCUUUCUACUGAAACAUUCUGUAGAUAUUUGUGUUAUGUGGGUAGCAUAUUUUAUUCAACAUUUGUGUUCUGUGGGUAGCAUAUUUUGUUCAUCUUACUGGUCAGGCCUGAGUGUAACAUGUAAACUGCACAACUCCCAUGGAAGGGUUGACUGAACUCAAAUUUCCAUGGAUGCAAGACAACAUAACAAGAGAAAUAGGUGAUUCUUAAUAGCUCUACAAAAAUAAAAGUUCAUGCCAGCUCUCAGAUGCUUGUAAGACAUGAUAAAAACAUCUCCAUUACCUGCUGUGAUGCUCGUUUAAGAUUGUAAAAAUGAAUAGAUGAAUCGAAGGUCGCUAUGCCCACCAUUGUUCGAGGACCUUCCUGCAAAGAGGCAACAAAUUUCAAUAAAUAACUUGAACACCUUCCAGUCUCUCUUGCUCAUAAAAGUUGCAAGAUGCAAAAUAAUGGGUGAAUACAAAUGGAAACUAAAGCUUGUAUCAAGACAUUAACAUUGAUGAAAAAUUUAAUUAGACAAUAAUUAUUAGAAAAGAAAGGCAAAUAGAAAAUAUAUGUUAUAGGUUGAUUCCUUCCAUCAAUCUCCAAAACAUAAUUCUAGCAGUGGUCAAAGUGAUCCAGCUGAUGUGGCAAGUCGUUACUAGUUAAGAUGACAAAGAAUGAUUUAAAAACUGCCAAGUAGAAACUAAAACCCAUAAUUAACUUUUUAUUAAUAUAUCUGUUCCAUGAUUCAAAUCCCAUUGGAUGGGGCCAUCCGAGUUUUUCCAUGGAAUGGGAUGCACCACCAUCCAUGGGAUGCACCACUCUGGAUGGUGGAUGUCUUGUCUUUUCCCAGUCCCUGUCCUGCCUUAUCCCAUCCUGACACUUGGGAUUGUAGGACAUACUGCCAUUCCACCAGGACUUAUAUCCUUGCUUAUGCUGAUGUCAUUGUUGAUCUCAUCAUAAUGUUAGCAUGACCACAUUGGCAUGAUAACAACAAAACUAUAACACUAAAAAUGAAGCUAACAUUAGCAAAAUAGUCUACCUGCAUCACAUAACAACAAUAAUGAGCCAGUGUUAAUUACUGGAUACAAUAAUGCAACGUCAUGCUUUUCAAGCAAAAUUAGUCUAACAUCGAGACUAGGGGCAGUUGCACACCUUUUAAUGCACAGUAAUUAAUUGAAACAUUUUCUAAUGGUAAGUAAUUAAUUGAGAAAACUGGCACAUCAAACUACAAGAUUCCCUUCUAUUAGCAAAAGCUCAUAAGCUGUGUUAAGAAGUGUAUGACUCUAGUUCUAGGAUUAUUAUAUGGAAACUAAAACCUUCAUGCUCAACAAGUUAGCUGCCCACAACUUCUGAUAUAUGAGAAAUAUCCCAGAGAGCUUAAGUAUUUGGUAAGCGGGUUAAAGUAUCAGGACCAACAGGUAGACAAUCCAGGAAUUAGACAGCCAUUUUACCUCUCUAUUCACCAUACAGUUAUAUGGUGAUUAUCAUAUUUCUUUAAGAAAAAGCAUCAGCCAUGAUUUUGACAAUGACGUUGUAAAGUCAGAUACUCAUGACAAUAGUUUUGAGAGAUGACAAAAUCAUGACUUGUCACAAUACUGACAACAAUAUAAGUGGAUAAUGGCAGGGAAUCUAGUACCUUUUCUGAUAUAACCAGUGACAGGAAAGGGCCCACAGUGCCUAAAAAGUACUAAUGGUUAAGAGUUAAGAGGUAGUAGGGCUUUUGUUCCAUGAGAGGAAUGAGUGUAGCAUGGUUAUGAUCCUUAUUUCAACUUUGUCAAGGUUUUGAUUGGUUGUUUCAUCAAUGAGGGAGUCCUUUAAUUGCUUAGCCACUUAUCUGCGGCAUUGUUGUGAUUUUCCAAAGCAGCAAAGACUAACUGCUUAUAGAAAAAACCAAUCUGAUCAACUGAUCCUUAACACCUACAGUAUGUUAUGACUGCCAAAUAUGAAGGAGAAUAAAGGAAAAGAAGAUCUCAGAAACUCUGAGAAGUCCUAGUCCUAACCAAACUCUCAGAUCGAUGAACUAAUUCCCUGCAAAACAAUUCUCUGCAUCAGGUCUUUUCAUUUAAAGGAUCAUGCCCAACAACCAAGCAAGCUAUACUUGAUUUUUCUUAAACAUUUUUUCCACGUGGAUUAUUGAACUACCACAAACACUAACAUUACUCCUGAUUUUUCCUAAACAAUUUUUUUCACAUGGAUUAUCAAACCACUAUCCAAUGUUCUAGUUCUAUCUUGAGCAGAUUUUAUCAUUGCAUUGGUAGCACCCGGUGGUACAAUGAAUCAAAAUAGUUGGAUCAUGACAAUAAGACCAAAGGAUGAAAACUGAGUUUAACCAGAGAAGAGCUGGAUCACCUAUGCAAUCUUGUAAAAAAAAAAAAACAACAGGAGAUUGACACCAAUGAAUUCAAAGAACCAAUAGUAAGUUCAUUUUCCAUACCAUGGCACUUCACAAGAAAAAUCUGAUAAUGAAUUCUUUAGACAUAAUGUGUGCAAUUAAAGUUAGAGCCCAACAAUACAAAGAGCAAGAAUACAAUUUGAAGUUUGAUAUUCUAAACUUAAACAGAAAAUUCCAAAUCAAGGAACUUUUUAUUGCGGGAAUUGUCAAAAAGUACUUGUUUGGCUGCAUCAUGCUCCAGAGGGAAAAGCUAGAACAUAUGCUUCAAGAAGAAGAAGAAGCAAAUACACACAAAAAAAAAAAAAAAUGAUGCAAAAUUUUCAUGACUAAAGAUAAAGGUCUUCUGAGAGAAAUUCUUUCUCAAAGAUUAUGAUGCAGUAAACUACAUAAACCACAUCAACUUGAUGCAAGAUUCUCUUAGCAGCAUAAACUAAGGAGAUGACUUCAGCUUGUUCUCAAUACAGAACUUAGUCAAAAAAGCAAACCAGGAUAAUUACUUGGUUAAAACCAAUCUGAAUCAGAAUAGUCAAAAUCCAGCUUCUAUAUUCCCCAUAUGGAUCAUGGUCUAUAUGGUCAACUAGACCAUAGAUGUUAAUUUUAUAGGUUCAGACACCAUGCUUCUCCAUGCAAACACAAACAGAAAUUUUUAGAAAACAUUUAGGGCAACGAAAAGUGAAUUGAGGAGCCAGUCUAGCACAUGCUGUACAUCAGUUGGUAGAGCACAGAAGGGACAAUCUUCCAUGUCAAGCCUCCUAAGCAACAAGGGCAGAGCCUAAAAUGUGCUCACACAAGACAGCCUCUUUUAAACAUAGAAAAACACUAGCAAUGUUCUGGACCCUUAUGAUUUACUUUCUAUAAGUUGGGCCCCUCAUUGUAACCAAAGACUCAUUAAGUUGUAAUUUGCCCCAUCCCUCUUCUAAGCAAAGAGUACAUGAAAAGCUGGGUUCUACUAAAAUCAUGUUGGAAAAAGUAACCAACUCAAUUAUCAAUAGGAUGACAAAGAGAGAGAAAGGGGAGAGAGAGAGAGUUGGUGAUGGAGUGUAGAAGCCAUUGGAUUGUGUAUGUCAUUUAGGGCCUUCUUAGAUACCAGAAUUUCUCAUAUGGUGAUAUCUUAAGAUGGCUUCUCUUCAUCUCAAGGGAAUGAGAGGAAAAACAGGCACAUUGGUUGAAGGAGGCUGCCAAAGGCCUGCAAUCCAUGAAUUCUCAAGACAACAGAUUCCACCGGAAAUGUGAAUUAUGCGAUCCCUAAAAUUUAGUGAUUGGGAGAAGUAAGUUUGCCAAUCAAGAGGAAAACCACUCUCCACCUUAGCAAGCUCUUCCCACUACGCAUCCACACAGUCCCUUAACGAAGAGUGAGAGAAAGGUGGAGAGUGGUUCAGUGGAGACAGCUUACCAUAUGGGCAUUGACUAAGAAGAGAAUUGUGUGAAGGACAUUUCAUGUCAUUUACGUACAUUCCCCCGCCUGUUUGUAAGUUGUAAUAGAACACAAAAGUCAUUUUUCUUGUUGAAGAAAGCAAGAAAAAAUGCAGUCCCCUUUGAAUUUCACAUUCCAAAACAAUAUUGACAGCAGGCAUGUUCAUUUUUUUUUCCCUUUUCCUUAUCUUAGUUUUAAGAGGGUUGGGCAUUCUUUUUAUUUGCUUUGUAGUAGAGAGGGGAUUCUCUGUUUUUUACGGUCUUCGUAGCAUAGUAAUCUUUUUUUCUUGUCUACAAAAAAUUGUAUCGCCAUAAGAACCAUAAUUUAACAUGUUAAUCAUUGCUAAAGUUUCUAAGCCCCAAAUAACAAUAAUACAAUUUCUUUUACAAAUGCCAACAAAACUCAAAAUAUUCA